RNAcentral lists this transfer RNA (24 nucleotides) under Gomphichis caucana. Its description in RNAcentral is "transfer RNA-Cys". Lineage: Eukaryota; Viridiplantae; Streptophyta; Magnoliopsida; Asparagales; Orchidaceae. The record is from RNAcentral.
GGCGGUAUGGCCAAGCGGUAAGGC